AUUGAACGCUGGCGGCAGGCCUAACACAUGCAAGUCGAACGGCAGCACAGAAGAGCUUGCUCUUUGGGUGGCGAGUGGCGGACGGGUGAGUAAUGUCUGGGAAACUGCCCGAUGGAGGGGGAUAACUACUGGAAACGGUAGCUAAUACCGCAUAACGUCGCGAGACCAAAGUGGGGGACCUUCGGGCCUCACACCAUCGGAUGUGCCUAGAUUGGAUUAGCUAGUAGGUGGGGUAAUGGCUCACCUAGGCGACGAUCCCUAGCUGGUCUGAGAGGAUGACCAGCCACACUGGAACUGAGACACGGUCCAGACUCCUACAGGAGGCAGCAGUGGGGAAUAUUGCACAAUGGGCGCAAGCCUGAUGCAGCCAUGCCGCGUGUAUGAAGAAGGCCUUCGGGUUGUAAAGUACUUUCAGCGGGGAGGAAGGCGGUGAGGUUAAUAACCUUGCCGAUUGACGUUACCCGCAGAAGAAGCACCGGCUAACUCCGUGCCAGCCGCCGCAGUAA
RNAcentral lists this ribosomal RNA (506 nucleotides) under uncultured bacterium. RNAcentral describes it as "partial 16S ribosomal RNA". It matches the Rfam family "Bacterial small subunit ribosomal RNA", at positions 30 to 523 of the family's 1533-position model. The record is from RNAcentral.